GGGCAUCUGGUCUAGUGGUAUCAUAGUACCCUCCCACGGUACUGCCCGGGGUUCGAUUCCCCGGAUGCGCA
Molecule: transfer RNA, 71 nt
Filed under: Amborella trichopoda
Lineage: Eukaryota; Viridiplantae; Streptophyta; Magnoliopsida; Amborellales; Amborellaceae
Rfam family: tRNA
About the family: Transfer RNA (tRNA) molecules are approximately 80 nucleotides in length.
Source: Rfam by way of RNAcentral